This 329-nucleotide unclassified non-coding RNA is filed under the name soil metagenome. RNAcentral describes it as "partial contains 5.8S ribosomal RNA, internal transcribed spacer 2, and large subunit ribosomal RNA". The stretch from base 1 to 120 matches the Rfam family "5.8S ribosomal RNA", at positions 35 to 154 of the family's 154-position model. The record is from RNAcentral.
GAUGAAGAACGCAGCGAAAUGCGAUAAGUAGUGUGAAUUGCAGAAUUCAGUGAAUCAUCGAAUCUUUGAACGCACAUUGCGCCCCUUGGUAUCCCGAGGGGCAUGCCUGUUCGAGCGUCAUUUCACCACUCAAGCCUGGCUUGGUGUUGGGCGACGUCCCCUUUGGGGACGCGCCUCGAAACGCUCGGCGGCGUGGCACCGGCUUUAAGCGUAGCAGAAUCUUUCGCUUUGGAAGUCGGGGCCCCGUCUGCCGGAAGACCUACUCGCAAGGUUGACCUCGGAUCAGGCAGGGAUACCCGCUGAACUUAAGUAUAUCAAUAAGCGGAGGA